AGUCCAGACCACGUUCACUCAGCCCCUCUAUGUUGGACUAGCAUGUUUGUGGUGUCCUGGAUUCUCUGCUGAGUUGUGUACACUGUAAUAGACAGAAGUCAUUUAAGGGUUAAUUUCUGUUUUAACUCGUCAACUUAUUUAGUCUCCAUGUUUGUGUCUGAGAGCUG
This is a long non-coding RNA of Etheostoma spectabile (orangethroat darter), 167 nucleotides long. RefSeq lists it as uncharacterized. NCBI's taxonomy places the organism in Eukaryota, Metazoa, Chordata, Actinopteri, Perciformes, Percidae. The transcript has 3 exons. The record is from RefSeq and is a predicted model, not a curated record.